GAGCUGUAGCUCAGUGGUAAAGCACCUGCUUUUGGUGCAGAAGGUCCCAGGUUCGAUUCCUGUCAGUGUCC
This is a non-coding RNA of Podarcis lilfordi (Lilford's wall lizard), 71 nucleotides long. The record is from the annotation of a GenBank genome assembly. Lineage: Eukaryota; Metazoa; Chordata; Lepidosauria; Squamata; Lacertidae.